This 454-nucleotide ribosomal RNA is filed under the name Agrobacterium sp. AS5. RNAcentral describes it as "bacterial SSU rRNA". It matches the Rfam family "Bacterial small subunit ribosomal RNA", at positions 32 to 534 of the family's 1533-position model. The record is from RNAcentral. Lineage: Bacteria; Pseudomonadati; Pseudomonadota; Alphaproteobacteria; Hyphomicrobiales; Rhizobiaceae.
AACGCUGGCGGCAGGCUUAACACAUGCAAGUCGAACGCCCCGCAAGGGGAGUGGCAGACGGGUGAGUAACGCGUGGGAACAUACCCUUUCCUGCGGAAUAGCUCCGGGAAACUGGAAUUAAUACCGCAUACGCCCUACGGGGGAAAGAUUUAUCGGGGAAGGAUUGGCCCGCGUUGGAUUAACUAGUUGGUGGGGUAAAGGCCUACCAAGGCGACGAUCCAUGGCUGGUCUGAGAGGAUGAUCAGCCACAUUGGGACUGAGACACGGCCCAAACUCCUACGGGAGGCAGCAGUGGGGAAUAUUGGACAAUGGGCGCAAGCCUGAUCCAGCCAUGCCGCGUGAGUGAUGAAGGCCUUAGGGUUGUAAAGCUCUUUCACCGGAGAAGAUAAUGACGGUAUCCGGAGAAGAAGCCCCGGCUAACUUCGUGCCAGCAGCCGCGGUAAUACGAAGGGGG